This 446-nucleotide unclassified non-coding RNA is filed under the name uncultured SAR86 cluster bacterium. RNAcentral describes it as "partial 16S-23S ribosomal RNA intergenic spacer". The stretch from base 331 to 446 matches the Rfam family "Bacterial large subunit ribosomal RNA", at positions 1 to 117 of the family's 2925-position model. The record is from RNAcentral. Lineage: Bacteria; Pseudomonadati; Pseudomonadota; Gammaproteobacteria.
CCUCCUUAAAAAAGAAAACGUUUAGUGUAAGCGUUCACACAUAUUACUUAUUUACCUAGAUCUCUUUUACGAGAGAUGACAAGGUGAGUUCUUUAAAAUUUUUAUAAGUUCAAUCAAGACACAUUAAAAAUGUUUAUAUGAAAGAUUUAUCUUUCUUUGUAAAUAUGAAGAAUGUGCAAAUUAACAGUUUAUAAAAGAUUUCCUUUUCCUUUAUCCGGAAAUCUUAUUAUGAACAUACUGCAAAGUAAUUUGGCGUUUUUGUGUUUUUUUAAAAACACAUAUAGUAGAUAGAAAUAUUUGAAAUAUUCAUCGAGUUAAUUGAUGUAAUAUGGUCAAGUAAUGAAGUGCAAACGGUGGAUGCCUUGGCAGCUAGAGGCGAUGAAGGACGUAGUAACUUGCGAUAAGCUUCGGGGAGUCGGUAACAGACUUUGAUCCGGAAAUUCCGA